AUUGAACGCUGGCGGCAUGCCUUACACAUGCAAGUCGAACGGCAGCGCGGACUUCGGUCUGGCGGCGAGUGGCGAACGGGUGAGUAAUACAUCGGAACGUACCCUGUUGUGGGGGAUAACUAGUCGAAAGAUUAGCUAAUACCGCAUACGACCUGAGGGUGAAAGUGGGGGACCGCAAGGCCUCACGCAGCAGGAGCGGCCGAUGUCUGAUUAGCUAGUUGGUGAGGUAAAGGCUCACCAAGGCGACGAUCAGUAGCUGGUCUGAGAGGACGACCAGCCACACUGGGACUGAGACGCGGCCCAGACUCCUACGGGAGGCAGCAGUGGGGAAUUUUGGACAAUGGGCGCAAGCCUGAUCCAGCAAUGCCGCGUGAGUGAAGAAGGCCUUCGGGUUGUAAAGCUCUUUUGUCAGGGAAGAAACGGCUGGGGUUAAUACCUUCGGCUAAUGACGGUACCUGAAGAAUAAGCACCGGCUAACUACGUGCCAGCAGCCGCGGUAA
Molecule: ribosomal RNA, 500 nt
Filed under: uncultured bacterium
Lineage: Bacteria
Description: partial 16S ribosomal RNA
Rfam family: Bacterial small subunit ribosomal RNA
Source: RNAcentral